GGAGUUGAUUACAGCAGGAUAAAUUCCAAACAGCAUAAGUGCAGGAAAUCACUGGCUCUUGUAGUGCAAUAAAUUUGUGUAUUCUAGCGGAGUCAAAUUGAGCGAGGGAUGUACAUGUUAUGUUAUAAAGAUAUUACCAAUAUUUGUUUCAACUCAUUCGUGUUUUUUGUUAGGUAUUUAAAAAAAAAAAAAAAAAAAACAACAAAAUAUACAUGGUUCUAGAAAACACUUGCCCUGAAUAAGCCAGC
Molecule: long non-coding RNA, 248 nt
Filed under: Helianthus annuus (common sunflower)
Lineage: Eukaryota; Viridiplantae; Streptophyta; Magnoliopsida; Asterales; Asteraceae
Description: hypothetical non coding rna
Source: RNAcentral